UUAAUGAGAGUUUGAUCCUGGCUCAGGACGAACGCUGGCGGCGUGCCUAAUACAUGCAAGUAGAACGCUGAAGAGAGGAGCUUGCUCUUCUUGGAUGAGUUGCGAACGGGUGAGUAACGCGUAGGUAACCUGCCUUGUAGCGGGGGAUAACUAUUGGAAACGAUAGCUAAUACCGCAUAACAAUGGAUGACACAUGUCAUUUAUUUGAAAGGGGCAAUUGCUCCACUACAAGAUGGACCUGCGUUGUAUUAGCUAGUAGGUGAGGUAACGGCUCACCUAGGCGACGAUACAUAGCCGACCUGAGAGGGUGAUCGGCCACACUGGGACUGAGACACGGCCCAGACUCCUACGGGAGGCAGCAGUAGGGAAUCUUCGGCAAUGGGGGCAACCCUGACCGAGCAACGCCGCGUGAGUGAAGAAGGUUUUCGGAUCGUAAAGCUCUGUUGUAAGUCAAGAACGAGUGUGAGAGUGGAAAGUUCACACUGUGACGGUAGCUUACCAGAAAGGGACGGCUAACUACGUGCCAGCAGCCGCGGUAAUACGUAGGUCCCGAGCGUUGUCCGGAUUUAUUGGGCGUAAAGCGAGCGCAGGCGGUUUGAUAAGUCUGAAGUUAAAGGCUGUGGCUCAACCAUAGUUCGCUUUGGAAACUGUCAAACUUGAGUGCAGAAGGGGAGAGUGGAAUUCCAUGUGUAGCGGUGAAAUGCGUAGAUAUAUGGAGGAACACCGGUGGCGAAAGCGGCUCUCUGGUCUGUAACUGACGCUGAGGCUCGAAAGCGUGGGGAGCGAACAGGAUUAGAUACCCUGGUAGUCCACGCCGUAAACGAUGAGUGCUAGGUGUUGGAUCCUUUCCGGGAUUCAGUGCCGCAGCUAACGCAUUAAGCACUCCGCCUGGGGAGUACGACCGCAAGGUUGAAACUCAAAGGAAUUGACGGGGGCCCGCACAAGCGGUGGAGCAUGUGGUUUAAUUCGAAGCAACGCGAAGAACCUUACCAGGUCUUGACAUCCCGAUGCUAUUUCUAGAGAUAGAAAGUUACUUCGGUACAUCGGUGACAGGUGGUGCAUGGUUGUCGUCAGCUCGUGUCGUGAGAUGUUGGGUUAAGUCCCGCAACGAGCGCAACCCCUAUUGUUAGUUGCCAUCAUUCAGUUGGGCACUCUAGCGAGACUGCCGGUAAUAAACCGGAGGAAGGUGGGGAUGACGUCAAAUCAUCAUGCCCCUUAUGACCUGGGCUACACACGUGCUACAAUGGUUGGUACAACGAGUUGCGAGUCGGUGACGGCAAGCUAAUCUCUUAAAGCCAAUCUCAGUUCGGAUUGUAGGCUGCAACUCGCCUACAUGAAGUCGGAAUCGCUAGUAAUCGCGGAUCAGCACGCCGCGGUGAAUACGUUCCCGGGCCUUGUACACACCGCCCGUCACACCACGAGAGUUUGUAACACCCGAAGUCGGUGAGGUAACCUUUUGGAACCAGCCGCCUAAGGUGGGAUAGAUGAUUGGGGUGAAGUCGUAACAAGGUAGCCGUAUCGGAAGGUGCGGCUGGAUCACCUCCUUUCUAAGGAA
RNAcentral lists this ribosomal RNA (1555 nucleotides) under Streptococcus equinus. RNAcentral's name for it is "bacterial SSU rRNA". It matches the Rfam family "Bacterial small subunit ribosomal RNA". RNAcentral also lists the same sequence under 1 other name. The record is from RNAcentral. Lineage: Bacteria; Bacillati; Bacillota; Bacilli; Lactobacillales; Streptococcaceae.